AUAUACAAAUAUAAUGAAUGUUUAUGAGUGCAAUGGUAAGAAUAUUCUCAUGAGGUGAAAUAUGGAAUGUUCCAUUCAACGAGCCGACAGCCGAGUUGAAUGGAACAUUCCAUCUUUCACCGAAUGAAAAUAUUCUUACCAUUGCACGAAUAAAAACAUUCAUUAUUUGUUUUAUAU
This 177-nucleotide microRNA precursor is filed under the name Paramuricea clavata. The record is from RNAcentral. Lineage: Eukaryota; Metazoa; Cnidaria; Anthozoa; Malacalcyonacea; Plexauridae.